RNAcentral lists this ribosomal RNA (503 nucleotides) under uncultured bacterium. RNAcentral's name for it is "bacterial SSU rRNA". It matches the Rfam family "Bacterial small subunit ribosomal RNA", at positions 9 to 507 of the family's 1533-position model. The record is from RNAcentral.
GAGUUUGACCAUGGCUCAGGAUGAACGCUAGCGGCAGGCUUAAUACAUGCAAGUCGAGGGGCAGCAUGGUGUAGCAAUACACUGAUGGCGACCGGCAAACGGGUGCGGAACACGUACAGAACCUUCCUUCGAGCGGGGAAUAGCCCAGAGAAAUUUGGAUUAAUACCCCAUAGUAUUAUGGAGUGGCAUCACUUUGUAAUUAAAGAUUUAUCACUUGAAGAUGGCUGUGCGGCUGAUUAGGUAGUUGGCGGGGUAACGGCCCACCAAGCCUGCGAUCAGUAACUGGUGUGAGAGCACGACCAGUCACACGGGCACUGAGACACGGGCCCGACUCCUACGGGAGGCAGCAGUAAGGAAUAUUGGUCAAUGGACGAAAGUCUGAACCAGCCAUGCCGCGUGGAGGAUGAAGGUCCUCUGGAUUGUAAACUUCUUUAUAUGGGACGAAAAAGGCCUUUCUAGGUCGUCUGACGGUACCAUAUGAAUAAGCACCGGCUAACUCCGUG